RNAcentral lists this long non-coding RNA (470 nucleotides) under Sorghum bicolor (sorghum). Its description in RNAcentral is "long non-coding RNA (SBIC_LNC007596)". Lineage: Eukaryota; Viridiplantae; Streptophyta; Magnoliopsida; Poales; Poaceae. The record is from RNAcentral.
GAUAUCAAGUUUAGUAUAAAUUUUCUCUACUAAAUGCUCAUGUGCUAUGACUAGUGUAAUGUUUUAUUACUACUUAAAAACACUAAGAGAAUACCACUAUAUAUUUUGGCAGUGGAUUCUCUACUGAUUAUCGCAAGAAUAAAAAACAUUUCUGGUUACUAAAUGAGGCCUAAGUUUCCACCUCAAACUGUAAAAUGGCACGAACUGCCUCUAUUAACUGUCAAAUACCUUUUGUCAAAAAAAAAAAGAACCUCUUGAGAAUCCCCCUAUAUAUACGUAUCUUACCUGCCUGUGCUUGACCCCGACAAUAUUAGGCACUAACCCCAGUAGAUGGGCAGCACAUAGCCCAACUCUCUAGUCAGCUUCUCGCGCGGUUGGCGUCACGACGUGCCGGCGACGAGCGACCCAGCGUCGCACACAUCCAUCGGCAUCCAGCGUCGCACUUGCACUCACGCCUCACAACCUGAGCC